RNAcentral lists this ribosomal RNA (485 nucleotides) under uncultured bacterium. Its description in RNAcentral is "bacterial SSU rRNA". It matches the Rfam family "Bacterial small subunit ribosomal RNA", at positions 28 to 526 of the family's 1533-position model. The record is from RNAcentral.
GAUUAACGCUGGCGGCGUGCCUAAUGCAUGCAAGUCGAACGGGGCGUCAUCCGACGUACCCGUGGCGGACGGGUGAGGAGCACGUGGGGAACCUGCCCAGCGGUGGGGGGUAGCCCGCGGAAACGCGGGGUAAUUCCGCAUACGCGGCGCUGACGGCAGGUCAGCGCCGGAAAGGGACGUUUCGACGUCGCGCCGCUGGAGGGGCCUGCGGCCGAUUAGCUGGUUGGUGGGGUAACGGCCUACCAAGGCGGUGAUCGGUAGCUGGUCUGAGAGGACGGCCAGCCACAGGGGGACUGAGACACGGCCCCCACUCCUACGGGAGGCAGCAGCAAGGAGUUUUCCGCAAUGGGCGCAAGCCUGACGGAGCAACGCCGCGUGGGGGAUGACGCCCUUCGGGGUGUAAACCCCUUUUCUUGGGGACGAAGCAGUGACGGUACCCGAGGAAGAAGGCCCGGCUAACUACGUGCCAGCAGCCGCGGUAACAC